This 492-nucleotide ribosomal RNA is filed under the name uncultured bacterium. Its description in RNAcentral is "partial 16S ribosomal RNA". It matches the Rfam family "Bacterial small subunit ribosomal RNA", at positions 28 to 507 of the family's 1533-position model. The record is from RNAcentral.
GUUGAACGCUGGCGGCAUGCUUUACACAUGCCAGUCGAACGGUAACAGGCCUUCGGGUGCUGUCGAGUGGUGACCGGGGGCGUAAUGCAUCGGAACGUAUCCAGUGGUGGGGGAUAACGCAGCGCAAGCUGUGCUAAUACCGCAUGUGAUCUGAGGAUGAAAGCGGGGGACCUAGCAGCAAUGUUUGGCCUCGCGCCUUUGGAGCGGCCGACGUCGGAUUAGCUAGUUGGUAGGGUAACGGCCUACCAAGCCAACGAUCCAUAGCGGGUCUGAGAGGGUGAUCGGCCACACUGGAACUGAGACACGGCCCAGACUCCUACGGGAGGCAGCAGUAGGGAAUUUUGGGCAAUGGGCGCAAGCCUGAUCCAGCAAUGCCGCGUGAGUGAUGAAGGCCUUCGGGUUGUAAAACGCUGUUAGCAGGGACGAAAAUAUGUCCGCGAAUACGGGGCCAUAAUGACGGUACCUACAGAAAAAGCACCGGCUAACUACGUG